AUUCAUCCAAUAUAUCAUCAAGCACAUAAGCAGCAUCACGCAGUUGCUGUAGCCACUCUUUGACAGCAUCGUUUGUUAUUUGCUUCUUUUCAGCAUCUUUUAGGACAGCACGGAUUAAAGUGAGCUUUCUAGAUAGGCUUUGGGUCAAUUCUCCAACACCCAAAUAGGUAGCAAGCUCCUCUUGUACAAAUGAUCCGAGGUUUUGAAUCAAGAUUCCAAGUAAAGCAUCAGCCAUUUUCAGAUGUGAGAACAGAAAUGAAUCAAAGUUGUUUGGAUUGGAGAUGAUUUUGCUCUAGGAAGAUGAAAUAUGAGUUGUUAUUUGUUUUCAAAGAUUAUAUAUUAAAUCAGUGGAUGUAGUUCUUCUGCAACAUGUCAAAAUUGGCUGCUAUAGAAAAAUAAAUAAUUAGUGAAUGACAGUGGGAAAAAACAAGUGUUGAAGGCACAUGGCCAUGAAAGGGAAAAAAACAAAAUUGGAAAACUUAUCUUAUGAAACAACAUCAUGCUCGUUCAUUUGUUCUUGUGUGGCCUAGAUUUCAUCAAAGAAAAUCCAAUACCAAAUAAUUGUAAUACUAAUUAUUAUUUAAUAUUUCAAGUUGGCAGUGUACCUGAAGUGCAAGUGGAUCAAGUAUGGUGGGAUGGCAUCAAGUUGGCAAGUGACACAUGAUUGACGGUGGUUGUGUUUUGUUUUUGAGAAGAAGAAGAAGAGUCUGCUACGAGAGUAGCACUGAACGUGUUCUAUUUUUGUUCCUUUCUAUUAUUUUAUUUGAUUUUUGUUUUUAAAAAAAGAAGUGACACAUGGUGCAAUAUUACUGGCUAUGUCAUGUGACAUAGCCCACCACAAUGUUACGGAAGUGCAAUCCCUUAAAAUAUGGUUCAUUUUAUUCUAUUCGUGUAUCUGUUAAGAUAGUUGUCAUGUACUAAUCAUGAUAAAUAUUAUUUCUGGAUACCGUGCAUACAUAAUUUAGAUCAUCCUUAAUUAUAUGUGUAACCCACGAUGCGGGAUAAAUACACUAGUAAAUAAAUAUAUAUAAACAGUAAAAUUGAAGACAACAGCGCACAUCUGAGCGUUACACAUCUAUAUCUUCAAUUAUGUUGUCAAAAUCUUGUUUCACGACGAAGUCAAACAUAAUAUCCGAAUAUUGCGUCGAUGCUGGCUUUUUAUCCUCUGCACACAUUGUUCAAUAUAAGUAUAAAAUCACACCAUAUUUGAUAUAGUAAAAAAAGUGAAAGGAAUAAAAUAAAGAGAUUCAUUCAAUUAAAUUACCACUAAUUGUUGGUUCUGCAUCAGAUUGCAAUUUGUAAUUCAAUUCAACUUCAGGAAUGUGAGCUAUCUUAUGCCAAUCUUCACCUAUACCUCUCUUGCAUCUCUUCUCCAACUUAGGGCAACCACAAAUUCUUAACUUUUGCAAGUUUUGGAGUUGCUGAAAGUUGUCUGGCAGUGAACUUAACUUUGAAGAGGAGCUAAAUAGUGGACUGAUUUCUAAUACUUGAAGAGAAGUCAUGGCACCCAAACAGUCUGGCAAGGAUGUUCGUGAAUGAAAAUCAAACAGACACAAUCUUUUCAGUGAGGGGAUGCCUUCUAUGCCAUCUAGUAUGUUUUCAUUACAAUCCGAGAGUCGCAGUUCACGGAGGGAAGUUAGACUGUUCAUGUUAUGUGGAAAAACAAUUUGUUUACAGAAAAGGAUUUUAAGAGUCUCGAGACAAGUUAGGUGUUUGAUACCCUCAGACAGGGAUUUGAAUUUAUUGCAGCUAGAAACAUACAAAUUUCGAAGAGAACUCAAACCUUGCAACAAGUGCUCUGAAAAUGACUCCAAUUCAUCACAUAAAUCAAUUCUAAGAAAUUCUAAUGCACUAAGAGUACUGAGUUCAACAGGUAAUUCCUUGAGUUCUUUAAAGCCUGAUAUCCAAAGUGACUUAAGAUUGUUACCAGCAAUUCCCCGUGAAGCUACAUCUUCAUUGCAAUUGUUGUAAAAAAUGGACUUCAAUAAUUCUUCAUUUCCUCGACUAGCAUAAAGUGACUCCAUAGAUGGAAGGGACUGCAAUGCAAGUUUAGGGACAUCUGUUAUAGCUAACUUCAAAAGCUGUUGUAGCAUCUCUACUCCUUCGACUUUCAACACCCUCUCUAAAUUUGGUAAGUCAGCCAAAGUAAAUUUUUUCAGUGACGUAAAAGCCUUCUCAGUCGUAGGUUCAUACAAACUAUCAUCAAUGUACUUUAAAUCUCUCAUUCUAGAUACAGAAAGGAAAGUUAAGCAUGGUAAUUUACCAAAUGGAGGAAUCUGCCUGCAGUUUUUACAGUCAUAGAGAAUAAUACUAACUAGACCUUUUAGAAUAGAAGUAUUUCUCAUCCAAUGAGGAAAAUGUGCUCCCAUAUAACCCUGCAACCCAAAACUCUUUAGACCUGAAUGAGGCUCAAGAGUUUCUAUUACUUGCUCAGCAUGAAUACUACUAACUUGUGAAUUAGUAUAAUCACCCCAUGACAAAUAUAAGCGAUUUAAGUCCUUCUUGCCAAUCAAAUUAGCUUUUCUUGCAUCCUCUUCAAUCGACACUUUCUGAAGGCCUUUAAUGUGUAGCUUUCCUCCUAAUUGUAAGUUGUGUAGCUCUGCUAAACCAAACCCAGUUUUUGAACCAACAAUGAAAAUGGUCAAUGUUUUCAGACAAGUUAACUCCCCAAUUUUAAAAGGAGUUGAUUUCAAUGAACUGCAAUUUUUAAUCAUGAGAUGUCGAAGGUCCUUCAAUUUUGUAAAUUGUUUGGGAAAAUCAGAUAGAUGAUGACAUUUUUCAAGUUUUAGUGUUUGCAAUUUCUGUAGUCUGCAAACAGAACCAGGCAAGGUAAUGAAGUCACAAGAUGAAAGUUCCAAGUACCUCAAAUGCAUUAAAUUUGAUGAUGAGAGUCGAUGAGACUUUGUAUGUAAAGCUCGAAGCGAAGUGGUUGAUAGAAACACAUCUAGAUUCUUUGAGGGUGGUUUAUACUCAAGAAAGGUUCGCAAGGAAUCAAAUUUUUGGAAGGGAAUCAUGUAGUCAUAUCUGAAUUUUUUAUCAAAGAGACUUAUAUGGUGAACUCUAAUUGACAAAUUUGUUAAAUUUGAAGCAUCUGAAGAAAUACAUUCAUCUCCCAUAAUAGACACUGCUAAAUCAUGGACAAAAUCAUGCAUUUUGAAAGUAAUGUUACCUACAAAAUCUGAUUUAACUUCUUCAAAUAAUGACCUUUGGUAUAAUUCAUUCCAUACCUCAUUACCAACAUGCUCCAUCUGUAAGUUUCCUCUAGAUGUAACAAGUCCAUUAGCCAUCCAAAGUUGAAUGAGAUUUUCCUUCACCAUUUCAUAAUCUUUGGGAAAAACAGCACAGAAAGUAAAACAUGGCCUCAAUGACAAUUUCAAGUUAAAAUAGCUUAGUCUCAAAGCAGACAUGAUAGGAUCAACCUCAGGUAAACUCCAAAACUCACUUUCUAGUACAGAAAUCCAUUGAUGUUCGUCACUUGUAAAGCACAAACUGCUUCCUAAUACUUUAGCAGCAAGAGGUGAACCCACACAUUUUCUCACUAACUUUUUGCCUAUUGCCACAAGCUCUGCACGCUCUUCUCUAUUUGCUACAAAAGCUUGUUGUUUGAACAAAGACCAGAUGUCAUCAUCAGAUAAGCUUGCUAAAUGAUGAGCAUCAGAAGUUCCCAUGAUGGAUGCAACAAUGUCAAGUCUGGUAGUGACCAAAAUUGAUGCACCUUUCUUUCCAUGUUGCAACGAAGACUUGAACUUAUUCCAUUUCUCUUGGUCUUCACUCCACACAUCAUCAAGAACAAGCAAAUACCUUUUGUUUUGCAAAAUUUCUUGAACCUUUUUUCGCAUUGACUCUAAAGAGGAGAGAUUUGGAUUUUUUCCAAUGGUGUCUUCUAUGAUGGACUCUAAAACCUUCAUCAUACUGAAAUCAUCAGAAACACACACCCAUAUUUUCAAGUCAAAAUGUGUCUUUACACUUUCAUCAUUGAAGACCAUUUGAGCAAGUGUUGUUUUUCCAUAUCCACCGUGGCCAACAAUGGAAUAGACAGAGAGUUCUUCACUCUCACUGGCGUGCCUUAGCAGAAACUCUACAAUCUGUUCUUUAUCUUUGUCUCUUCCAUAUACUUUCGGUUCGGUGACAGCAGAAGUAGUUUGGCGCCAUUCAUCAUCUCGUCGUUGGCGCUCCUCCGUGACUGCAAAUUGUUGUAAUCCGAACUUCAUCCUUUCUUCAGCAAUAUCAUCGAUCUUUUUAGCAACCUCCUUCAUCCUCUUUCCAAUGUUGCGACGAGCCAAAAUCUUCAUAGGAUGGAAACGAGUGAUCCGCUUGUUGUCGCCAUGUGCUCUUAAGGUUAUUGAACAUUCAUCCAAUAUAUCAUCAAUCACAUAAGCAGCAUCAAUCAGUUGCUGUAGCCACUCUUUGACAGCAUCGUUUGUUAUUUGCUUCUUUUCUGCAUCUUUUAGGACAGCACGGAUUAAAGUGAGCUUUCUAGAUAGGCUUUGGGUCAAUUCUCCAACACCCAAAUAGGUAGCAAACUCCUCUUGUACAAAUGAUCCGAGGUUUUGAAUCAAGAUUCCAAGUAAAGCAUCAGCCAUUUUCAGAUGUGAGAACAGAAAUGAAUCAAAGUUGUUUGGAUUGGAGAUGAUUUUGCUCUAGGAAGAUGAAAUAUGAGUUGUUAUUUGUUUUCAAAGAUUAUAUAUUAAAUCAG
This 4696-nucleotide long non-coding RNA is filed under the name Medicago truncatula (barrel medic). Its description in RNAcentral is "long non-coding RNA (MTRU_LNC007299)". Lineage: Eukaryota; Viridiplantae; Streptophyta; Magnoliopsida; Fabales; Fabaceae. The record is from RNAcentral.